CGCCCCUACUCAUCUCUGGACUUCAGGCUCCUGACUCAGAUGAGAACCAACAGACCCUAUAAUGGACCAACUCAAAGUCUUGAUCAAAUGGCAGACUGAUGCAAACCUGGAACCUCCUGCAUGUGAAAAAUUCUUUCUUACUUUAAUCUCAUCUAACAAGAUGUGAAAUCCAGGAUGACUGAGGCAGGUGGAUGCUUGAUAGAACACAAGGAGAUGACCAUAUUUGUACUAAGGGGGACAAGGAGUGGCAGCUGGGGAGAUGGCGAAAUGCUGUGUGUCCCGUGCGGUCUUUCCUCUUCUGGAAUUCUCCAAAUCUUCAGUAAGGAUGAAAUUC
Long non-coding RNA from Tupaia belangeri chinensis (Chinese tree shrew), 334 nucleotides. RefSeq lists it as uncharacterized. The record is from RefSeq and is a predicted model, not a curated record. The transcript is spliced from 3 exons. Lineage: Eukaryota; Metazoa; Chordata; Mammalia; Scandentia; Tupaiidae.